GGCUCGGUGGUGUAGUUGGUUAUCACGUAAGUCAUCCUCUCUUGCUCGCUUCACACUCAAGCAGCAUCAACUAACAAUCAAUUUAGGUCAGUCUAACAGAUGUUAGCACACUGAAGGUCCCGAGUUCAAACCUCGGCUGAGUCA
Molecule: non-coding RNA, 144 nt
Organism: Periconia macrospinosa
Lineage: Eukaryota; Fungi; Ascomycota; Dothideomycetes; Pleosporales; Periconiaceae
Source: the annotation of a GenBank genome assembly